This is a non-coding RNA of Pelobates cultripes (western spadefoot toad), 384 nucleotides long. Lineage: Eukaryota; Metazoa; Chordata; Amphibia; Anura; Pelobatidae. The record is from the annotation of a GenBank genome assembly.
UUGAAGUGAAUGCAUGCAACUGCUUAAUGAGAAUUAAGCUUACUCUGUAUUGGGUCCCCUUGUGGACAAUAAAGUGGUGUGAAUUCUUAUCUGCAACUUGGUCUCUGUGUGGUUUCUUUUUCCUAUAGCCCAAGACACUCAUCUCGAACUGGGUUGUGUGCCCGCCAAUAUCACUAUAAACCUUAUUAGGUAAUUGAUUAUUACUUUUUGGAUAUUGGUGCUUCAUGAAUUUAAUGAUUAGGCACAACAACCUACCAUGGUGACCACGGAUAACGGGGAAUCAGGGUUUUAUUCUGGAGAGGGAGCCUGAGAAAUGGCUACUACACAGAAGGAAGGCAGCAGGCGCGCAAAUUACCUACUCCUGACGUGGGGAGGUAGUGAUGA